RNAcentral lists this ribosomal RNA (562 nucleotides) under Staphylococcus aureus. Its description in RNAcentral is "partial 23S ribosomal RNA". It matches the Rfam family "Bacterial large subunit ribosomal RNA", at positions 745 to 1310 of the family's 2925-position model. Lineage: Bacteria; Bacillati; Bacillota; Bacilli; Caryophanales; Staphylococcaceae. The record is from RNAcentral.
UUGAAGUUCAGGUAACACUGAAUGGAGGACCGAACCGACUUACGUUGAAAAGUGAGCGGAUGAACUGAGGGUAGCGGAGAAAUUCCAAUCGAACCUGGAGAUAGCUGGUUCUCUCCGAAAUAGCUUUAGGGCUAGCCUCAAGUGAUGAUUAUUGGAGGUAGAGCACUGUUUGGACGAGGGGCCCCUCUCGGGUUACCGAAUUCAGACAAACUCCGAAUGCCAAUUAAUUUAACUUGGGAGUCAGAACAUGGGUGAUAAGGUCCGUGUUCGAAAGGGAAACAGCCCAGACCACCAGCUAAGGUCCCAAAAUAUAUGUUAAGUGGAAAAGGAUGUGGCGUUGCCCAGACAACUAGGAUGUUGGCUUAGAAGCAGCCAUCAUUUAAAGAGUGCGUAAUAGCUCACUAGUCGAGUGACACUGCGCCGAAAAUGUACCGGGGCUAAACAUAUUACCGAAGCUGUGGAUUGUCCUUUGGACAAUGGUAGGAGAGCGUUCUAAGGGCGUUGAAGCAUGAUCGUAAGGACAUGUGGAGCGCUUAGAAGUGAGAAUGCCGGUGUGAGUAGC